UCCUACGGGAGGCAGCAGUGGGGAAUUUUGGACAAUGGGCGAAAGCCUGAUCCAGCAAUGCCGCGUGUGUGAAGAUGGCCUUCGGGUUGUAAAGCACUUUUGUCCGGAAAGAAAUGGCUCUGGUUAAUACCUGGGGUCGAUGACGGUACCGGAAGAAUAAGGACCGGCUAACUACGUGCCAGCAGCCGCGGUAAUACGUAGGGUCCAAGCGUUAAUCGGAAUUACUGGGCGUAAAGCGUGCGCAGGCGGUUGUGCAAGACCGAUGUGAAAUCCCCGAGCUUAACUUGGGAAUUGCAUUGGUGACUGCACGGCUAGAGUGUGUCAGAGGGGGGUAGAAUUCCACGUGUAGCAGUGAAAUGCGUAGAGAUGUGGAGGAAUACCGAUGGCGAAGGCAGCCCCCUGGGGCUAACACUGAUGCUCAUGCACAUAAGCGUGGGG
RNAcentral lists this ribosomal RNA (438 nucleotides) under uncultured Ralstonia sp. RNAcentral describes it as "bacterial SSU rRNA". It matches the Rfam family "Bacterial small subunit ribosomal RNA", at positions 337 to 766 of the family's 1533-position model. Lineage: Bacteria; Pseudomonadati; Pseudomonadota; Betaproteobacteria; Burkholderiales; Burkholderiaceae. The record is from RNAcentral.